ACCGACCAUGACUGGUUCUAGCGGGUUUACAGAGAUUGCAUACUUGAGUGCCUUCAUGUCCUGAAUAGACCUUUUGAUGUAUAGGGCCUGAUUGCAAUAUUUAAAUAUUAAGUCUCCACCCCAAGGUGAACAUGUGUCAUAUGUAAGAUGCAUGUUUAAUAUGCAUGCAUCAGGACCACUUUCAUUAAUAUUCAUAGCUCCUCCUGUAACCUGUUGAAUAUGUGUUAAGCCAACCCAUUCAGCAUAAAAGCAUAAAACUCCUACCCCAACCCCUCCUCCUUGGAGGUGCCUGUCUCUGGGCUUCUGCUGGAGGAGGCUGUGCUUCCUGGCCUGCAGGAUGGCCACCUGGCAGGCUGUCACCCUUAAGAAAUAGUGUCUCCAUUUUUCUAAAUUUGUAUCUUAUGAUUUUUUUUUUAAAGUUAACGUAUCUGGCAAAGAUGGGAUUCUGAAGCAGCCCCUGAAUUCCUUUUCCUGUGUCACCCAGGACACCAGGUACAGCCAAGGUCCCUUUGAAAAAGUCCAGUUGUUCCUGACUAUGCUGGGAAAGGAUCUGGGUAAGUGCUAUCAAAAUCCAAGAUCUCCCACUUUUAGGUUGCAGACUUGAUUUCUUCUUUUAGGCCUCCUCCAUCUGUGGAACUCCGGAGGAGACCCUCCUGCUGGCCUUGGGUUUGGGAGGGCAUUCCUAGUUCUUCUCAGUCCUUUCUGUUCUCCUCCCUGGACCCCGGAGGGAACAUCUCUCCUAGCCUUGGGUUUGGAGGAGGCCUUCCUGAUUCCCUCCAUCCAAGGGCCCUGGAGAAAAUGCAUUUGUGGGCUCCGGGCUUAUGGAGAGGCAUUCAGGUUGGAUUCAACUGGUUCAUAAGGUUUGUGGGGAUGCUCACACUAAGGGCACUGGAAGAGAUAUCUUCAUAAAGUCAGUGCAAUAGGUAACUUACCCACUAGGGGCAGGAACUCCUGUAGAAGUUCAAAGGCAUGCCAGGUUUUCCAGCACUUCAGCUAGCUGCAUAUUGUGGCCUGUUCUUGUGCACAUUUUAAAACUGAACGGGCAAAUUACAGCAAGGAAAAUUCAGAGCUCAAAUGCCCAACCUGCAACUAUACAAUUAAAAUGUAGAGUUUUCUAAAGCUAUCUCUUUUUUGUUUUCGGCCUGCUUUGAAUUUGCUGUUAUUAAGCUACUGCUGUUAAGAUAAAACUCAUUGUUUAUGAUACUACUAAUUCAAGGCUACUUGGAGCUUUCUUUACAGUUCAGCCAAUUGUAGCUAAAAUGUAAACACUGAAAACUCAUUUGAAACUUCAGGAAAAAAAAAAGGGGUAAAAGGUUUUUAAAAAUAAAACUGCCAUGAAAACUACUUUUCCCAAGACUUUGGUCCAUAGCCUUCAUUGGAUUACCUACUGGGACAAAUAAAGUUUAGCCAUGUGAACAGGUCCCAAUUUUGUCAGAAAUAAUUUGGAUCCAGCUGUCUUUUGUUAAGUGGUGAGUCUGUAUUACCAUCUCAUGGCUAAGGUUCCAGAGUAAAAGCUGUAAGAUCUUUGUGUGUAUGUGUUUAAAUGUUUGUAUAUGAACAUGUAUUAUGUUGUGUUGUAUCUAGCAUGGUACCAAACUGGUUUAUAAGUAAAUUAUACUCAUAAAUUAAGUAAGUCCAAAUACUUUUCAGAUUCAUGUGAACUUAGUAAUCUGGUAAAUAAAAUGGUUUUAAAAUUAUUGGUAAAAUAAAACUAGAAAUGUCUUCAGAAUUGUCAGCAUACAUUUUUUUUUUAGUCUGGGUUUACUGAUUAUUUUAUAUUUGCCUCCGCUAGGUGUUUUAAGGGUUAAUGAGUGCCUGUUCACCUCCAUCCUCAUCUGGCCUAGAAUGUUUAAUUGGCUCCAAGUCCCUUGGCCAUAAGGAUCCCACCAAAGAACAGAAUGAACCUGCAGCAGGUAGCCACACCACCCCGGCAAAGAUAUGGGAAAAAAUAAAUGUUUGGUCACCAAUGUCAUCUCUGGCACAUCUUGGCUAAAAGGGGAGAAUGUAAACUCAGCCUCCCAAAGUGCUGGGAUUACAGACAUGAGCUACCAUGCUUGGCCAGAAACACGUUUCUAAAAAUUGUGACGUGAUUCUCAUCUUUAAAGUGCUGAUAGAGAACAGACAAUUCAAUAUUUCUUGCCUCCUAGGUUUUCACUAAAAUUUAAGGUUACUAAGAGUAAGAAUUUUAGUUAAUAUAGAAUUCUAUAUAUAAAAUGUGCCAAAUAAAUGUGUUCUUAUGGAGAAAAAGAAUAAUUUUAUUUAAUUUGGAUGUUAUUUAAAGGUUAGUUAUGAAAGAAGGUAGAAAACCAGUAAGUAGGAGAGAUGUGAAAAAAGUUAGCUAUGAAGAUGUAUUUUUGGUAAGGAAGGUUCAAAAGAGAAUAAUUUCAUAUAUGAAAGUAUCUUGCAGGGUAAAUUUCUGUCCUAAAGUAAAAUGACUGGUUAUUAAGGAAAGGGGAAAUUUAGUACAAAUCAGAAAGUACAAGCAUGUUAUAGAUGGUCUAAGUUGUGAUAAGGUUUGUGAGAGAAUACUUAUGAAAAGCAUUUUGUGUGGGAUUAAGUUGGCUAUAAUUAAAAUUAUUUAUAAAAGUCUUUCUAAAUUUUGGUCCCUUGUUUUAAAAGAAAGUUGUCUUAAAAUAUGAUUUACUCUUAAUACAAUUAAAAGAGGUUUUGAUUUUUAAUUCUAAACCUGUUUCUUGUUGAAAACUUCUCAGAUUAGUAUCUUGGAAGUUCCACUUUUGCUGCGUCUUGCUACUUUGUUUUUCUCCCCCUUUGAGAAGGCCUGAGAUGAUAACUUUUCCCUUCAACUGUUUUGCCAGCUCCUGUAACUUUUUCCCUCUGGUUCUAACUGCCACUGUGGCCUGAUGCUAAAAUGUUUUAUCUUGAAGGUCUCGAAGAGCAAUGUUUUCCUACAGUAUACCUUGAUUCUGUACUCUUGGCUUUUCCUGAUAUCCGAAUUGUUCCAUAUAACCAGAAAACUUCCCAUGCUGUUAUUAAGAGUCAUGUAUUCCCCGGCUCAAGGUACAGUUUUCUAGUUUCCUGUUUCCUCCAUAACAUAAAGUUCAUUCAUGACCCCAGACACACUCUUCUUGUGUCUGAUUAAUUCAAGUAAACUUUUUACAGUUUGAUUUCCAAGUUAUCUAAAUGGGCUUCUCAUAGGAGAAGCAACCACACUGUAGGUUUUUCUUUGCCUUUUUGGUAACUGGCCUAAGAACCAAAGAUUUUACAUUUUAUCAAGAUAAUUCCCAUGUUUUCUUUAUUAGAUUUUUUAUUACUUAGGAAAACUAAGCUUUAAAAGGGUUAAGGUUUUUACAUCCAUGUGACUUUCCAUAUUGCAUUUAAAGUCUUUUGAUUAUUACUCUUGGUUUAAUGAAUAACUAUUACAAUGACCUGUAAUUCCAUUUUGAUUAAAAGCUUUGAGCCUUUGAACAUCUUUGACAAAUGUCCUCAAAAUCAAAUAAACAUUGCUAAUUCUUCAUGUUUUGCUUUUCAGAGUCAAUAAAACCUUUUUUCUUUUAAACUAUUUACAGCUUACAGAAAUUGGGUAAAACAUUGAAGAUUACCUUUCUCUCUACCUAGUAUCUCUAGAAUUUGAAAACUAUUCAAUCCCCCUAGGCCAAUCUGCUUUCCAUUGCCAAGGCACUACUGCUAAAGCAAUACAGUAUCAAGCACCCUCCCAGUAGGCCCAUGGACUAUCACAGAAGGGGUGGGCACAUGAGAUUGUAAGGGCCAGUUUCAACAGAUAAAAUUAGUUCAGACCCUCCAAAUUAAAGAUGGGCAUACAGAUUACCAAACAGCUCAUGGCUCAACACACAGAACUCAUAGACAAGUCACUUUUGUAACACUGCUUUUUGGUUAUGUUGCUCAAAAGGUUUUUAAGGGUUAAUGCGUGCCUGUGAACCUCCAUCUUCAUCUGGCCUCCAAUGUUUAAUUAGUUUUAAGUCUUUUGGUUCCAAGUCCCUUGGCCACAGGGAUCCCACCAAAGAACAAAAUGAGCCUGGGGCAGGUAACGACACCACCCUGGCAGUGACAUGAGACAAAAUAAAUGUUUGGUCAUCAGUGUUGCCUCUGGCACAUCUUGGCUAAAAGGGGAGAAUGUAAACUAAAAAUAAAAUCCUAAGACUCCUCCCCUACAGAUUGAAUGGACCCCCUCUUGGCCAAGGGGACCCCAGAAAAUUCUUAAAAACGGAGUUCCCAGCCAUGACAGGACAGCAGGUUAGACACGACUUGUUAUACUCCCCUCCCUUUUCUGGUUUACAGACAAUUGACCCGCAUUAAAGUUAAAAUAGAGAUCCUAAGAUUGACAGAACAGAUUCUUUGUGGCAGCAACAUAACAAAUUACCAUGCCAGGCAAGGGUUAAGUUAUGCACCCCUACGCUUAAAGAAUAAACUAGGUUCUAACUGCAACAAGGAUUCUCUUUCUCUCUAGCAGCUAAACAAGCAGUGGCCUCACCAUAAACACUAAUAAAACACUUGCAGCCCUACCAGAUGCUGACUAACUGAACUCUACCAGCCAUAACUAUAGCUUUGACUGGACAAGAGAGUGAUUUCAGUAACUUUCUCCUGUUAAGAAGCCCACCGACCAUGGACUGGUUCUAGUGGGUUUACAGAGAUUGCGUACUUGAGUGCCUUCCUGUCCUGAAAAACCUUUUGAUGUACUGGGCCUGAUUGUAAUAUUUAAAUGUCGAGUCUUCUCUGUGAGAUGAACAUGGGUCAUAUGUAACAUACUUGUUUAAUAUGCAUUCAUCAGGACCACCUUUAUGAACAUUCACAGCUCUUCCUGUAACCUACUGAAUAUGCAUAUUUAGAUAACUUUUUCAGCAUAAAGCUCCAAGCCAACCCCUCCUCCUUUGAAGUGCCUGUCUCUGGGCUUCUGCUAGAGGAGGCUGUGCUUCCCAGCUUGCAAGAUAACCUGACAGGCUAUAACUCUUAAGAAGUAAUAGUUUCCUCUCUCCUUUUCCAAACUUACAGAUUUGUGAUUUUAAAAAGUUAACAUGACUUACUCCAUUGGGAGUGUUACUUAAAUGAACUGAUUUUAAAUCUCAAACAUACCAAUUACCAUACAUAUGGUAAAACUGAAGUCUGUGAGGGUAAAGCAAUUUCUCUGAGUUUCCACAGUAAGUGAAGGCUCUUCAAAGUGCCAUGCUGUUCAUCAACUUCGGAUGCUCUGCAAGUGGAGAUCUCUCCCUCAGGCAGUGGCAGGAAGAGACUCUGCCCAUCUCACUUCUGCCCACUUGAUACAAUGCUUUGGGAUUAUUUCUCCCCUCUUUCCACAGAAGAACAUCAGGAGUGGAUUGUUAUGUUUCUAUAUUACUUUGCAUGGGUCUCAUUCCUCAGCUUUUUCUGGUACAAGGUAGACUCUAAUCUUGAGGUGAGCACAUUCUAUUCUAUUCAUCUCCUCUAGGACACAAGCCACAGGAAUUCAGUGUUGACAAAGAUAGUUCUUGGUGUUGCUAAAGCUGCAGAAAUGACAGGAAGGACUCAGGAGAGAUUCUGCUUUUUUUUUUUUCCCCCAGCUCCUAUCAGACAUUCCCAGGUGGGGCUGGGGUAUUAUACCAUCUGGCUUCAGAAAUGCUCUAAGACUCCCUUUUACCCCUACCAUCUGCCAACUUCUGUCAACACAAACUGCUAAGAAAGGGAACCUAUUUUUCAGCCUAGUAUUCUUACUAUGGCAGAGAUAGAGAAAAGUCAUGCACAUAUUACAUAAGAUUGUCAAGAUCUGCCAGGGAUUCACCCUCUGCCUCUGAGCAAGACUGUUUCUAACACGAAUAGGAAGACUACCAGAGAAGGGAGAGAGAAAUCUGUUUCCUGUUUUCAAAAUCUCCAGAGGAGAUCCCUCAGCCAAGGAGAAGAGUCUUAACCCUAGUAACACACACAGCAUCCUUGAAACAAACAACAAAAGCGAUGUGGCCACAAGGAUAUGUGUGUAAUUCUUUGAUGGUGUGUUUGAUCUCGCCCCAGUUUGGCCUCACUUAAACUCAAAUCCAACAGCUUGGAAUGCAAUUUUAAAAUUCUGAGCAAUGACAAAUGUCUCACACAUGCUACCUUUUGUGCUUUCCUGGCCAAGCUGUUAUCUGCAGUUAUUUUCAAGAACAGAGUUCAUUUUUGUUCUUAUUUCUGAAUGGGGAAUUAUAUAAGGCUUGAUUUUGGCCACAGUGGAGGCAUGGAAGUUCAACCUAAGGAGGAGCAGAGUUUGCUAUCGCCUACAUUUGAUUGAUUUCAGGUUUAAACAGCAAGGCAUGAAGAUAAUCCAGAGAUGACCAGACUCUCUCUGGACAGCCUGUUUUCACCCUUGCCCUCCUUGAAACAGGUCACAUUCACAGCACUUACAUGCAUCCCCUAAAAAUACCAACUCCAAGCACAUUAGUGAAAUGGAUGUUGCACUGAAUACUCAGUGGGGAGAUGAAAAUUCACUCAACCCCACAGGAUAACUUAAGACUAGGAUGCCUAUGGACACUUGUGCUUCCCCAAGCCCCUAAAGCUGCCCUCCCCUGCAGCUGUCCAUCGCUGUUGUCUUUACCCACCUCCAUCUCUAAAACUCUCCCCUUAUUUAAAGAUAAUCUUUAUCAACACCAAAGCCAGUAACCAGCCAGAACACCUCCCCUACCACCAAGUUUCCCCAGGGUGCCAUCUUCCUUCUGCUUUCCUCUCCUAUCUCAGUGCCACUGCAAUCCCUGAAGUAGUUCAUCAACGUAUUUAUCCAACAAACUAGAUCUGUUCCUAAGGGGAAUUCUGCUGCAAAAUAAAUUUUAGUUUUCAUCCUAUUUUACCAAGCCAUUAAUAUAUGCUGUUAGCAGUAUGUGCUCAUUAAUCUUAACAAUAACCCUGUAAGCUGUUAUAAUUCCCAGCAUACUGAAAAGGUAACAGGGAGGGGCGUAGAGAAAUUCAGAGACUUACCCAUGCUAAGACUCCCGUUCCAGGUCUGCCAGGGUCCUUACCCACACAAGCUGCAGUGCAAAGGUGGGUGGCCCUGGGCAAUGUAAAAUGGGAGGAUGUGGAUAGGGCUUGGGUCUGGAGCUGCUUUCUCAACACUCCAAGCAGUACCCGUUCGCAUAUUCAAGCAGCUCCUGUGAGUUCCCUUUGGCUGAGAAGUUUCUGUCCUCUCCUGGGCCACCCUGCCCACAGAUAAAAUGCAAGUGAUUUAUUUUGUUGCUUACAAAGGUUAAGGGACUUGUGAAGGCCACAUAACUGUUAAAUGCUAUUGACACCUGGACUUAAUAAACCUAAUAGUAUCUAACAUCCAGGUGGCUAUUUGAAGCAUUAUGCCAUUAUGCCUCUUGAAAGGAAGUCUAGUCCUGGGUUAUGUUUAAAGGAGCAUUUCUUUCCUUUCCAAAAUGACUGCAGAAAGCCAACUAUCUAAGCAGGGAUUAGCAAUUCUACUUCUGAUCAGGGGAACUGACCUAUAUGGGGUAAAAGUGUGGGAUGGGGGAAGUCCCAUUUCCCCAUCACCCUCCUAAUAUUCCCCUGCCUGCUAUAGGGAGGACUUAGAAAAAUGGCUGGAGACUGAGCUAUAUUUAUUAGGGGUCAUUAAAACCCCUAAAAGGUUGUUUAAACAUCAUAUGCAUUUCCACUUCCUGCUCCAUGCUGUCAACCAGGCACAAGUACCAGGGCCUACUUUUUUUUUUUUUUGAGAUGGAGUCUUGCUCUCUCGCCCAGGCUGGAGUGCAGUGGUGUGAUAUCGGCUCACCGCAACCUCUGCCUCCCAGGGUCAAGUGAUUCUCCUGCCUCAGGUUCCUGAGUAGCGGGUAUUACAGGCGCCCACCACCACACCCGGCUAAUUUUUUGUAUUUUUAGUAGAGAUGGGGUUUCGCCAUGUUGGCCAGGCUGUUCUGAACUCCUGACCUCUAGUGAUCCGCCUGCCUCUGCCUCCCAAAGUGCUGGGAUUACAGGCGUAAGCCACUGCGCCCAAGGGCCUACUCUUUCCAAGCAGGCCCAAUGAGACGUUCUUCCCUGUCUCAGGCUUGGAAGCCAGAUGGUGGUAAGAUCUGGAUGUAGGAGGCAGAGGACAAACCUAAGCCAUGAGCCACAACCUAGCUGUUCCAAAGAUCUCUGAAAUAAGCUAAUACAAAGCAGUAUGUUGAUUUCCAUUUUGCUGUCUGCUCCUUGUGCAUUUAGCUCCAGGAGGGAGUUAAUAGGAGAGGGGUGAGUGGCAAGGCAGGAUAUGGUCAUUCCUUGGGCCCUGGUUGUGAUACUAACUUAAUAUAAUCAAAACCUAGGGUGACCAUAUAUCUAUAAUCCAUACCAGGACAAUUCUGAGAACAAAAAAGAGCACUAUUAAUUAUGCUAAGACAACAAUCCAUCCUCCAUAGCUGGAAUGCAUGGUCACCCUGUUAAAAAGUAAGAAAACCUACCCUGGGUCCUACCCUUACCUUUGAUCACAUGGAGACUUUAAUUUUUAUGUAUAACUAGAUGAGAAAACCUAAGUCCAAUAACAAUAGAUCAUUACAAAGAAAACAGCACUGGAAUACUCAAGGUCUUAGAAGAAAUAAGGUUAAAAUAAAAAAACAGCAGCAGACCUAUUUAAAAGUUGUUUUGUGGCUGGGCGCAGUGGCUCAUGCCUGUAAUCCAAGCACUUGGGGAGGCCGAGGUGGGGAGAUCAUUUAAGGCCAGGAGUUCGAGUCCAGCCUGGCCAACAUGGAGAAACCCCGUCUCUACUAAAAACACAAAAAUAAGCCAGGGGUAGCGGUGCAUGCCUGUAAUCCUAGGUAUUCGGGAGGCUGAGGCAGGAGAAUCACUUGAACCUGGUCAGUGGAAGUUGCGGUGAGCCAAGAUUGAGCCACUGUACUCCAGCCUCGGUGACAGAGUGAAACUCUGUCUCAAAAAAAAAAAAAGGUUAUGUUCUGCCCAGGCCCUCUAUUUGAAGUUUUCAUGAAACCAUCUCAUUUGUGGAAAGCAUUUUAGUUUAGAGUACUUCUACGGGCAUGCUCUAAGCCUGUGAGGCAGGUCACAGGUUUAGCACCAUGACAGAAGCUGUGCAGCAAGCAGCAGAGGCAAGACUCAAGUCCAGUAUCUGGGUUAGCCCAGUGUUUCCUCCCGUACCCAUGCUGUGACCCCUCAUGGCCUCUGCUCUGCAUGGGCCACAAGCUUGUGUCCUGAACUUAGAAUAUCUGGGGGAAGGCAGAGGACAACAUGAAAUGACGCCCAUGGGAGACAGGGAACCAAAAGGAACAUCUGUUGCCUGAAUCAAAAUUAACUGCAAAGCCAGUCAUUAGCACUGCACAUCAUCAAAACAGGAGAGAUCUGUGUCCAUUUAUUUUCAAAGCCAUCCUGGACUUGGCGGGAAAAAAAAAUGCUGCCUAAUCCCAACACGAUUUUUCAAAUAGUUUUCCAAGAUUCUAAAUCUUAUAUGUAAAUUAACUGGCAAAGGAUUAAAACCCAACAUUUAAAAUAGUGGUACUUAAUGAGGGGCAGCACAUACCUUCAAGGGGGCAUUUGGAAAUGCGUAUGGUCAUUUGAGUUGUGACUUGGGUGGGGGGGUCACAAAGAGGAUGACUCCUCUUCAAGUCAAUAAAUUUCAGUGACAUAGAAGAAAAAGGUGACCGGGUCCAUAGUCAGUGACUUGCAAUCACAGACAAGCCUAUCAUUUGUGGGAUUACUGGGCUUCUGAGAAGCAGCCCAUGGUGGAUUGACGACAAUACAGCACUUGCUGUCCUCCAGGGCUACACUCAGCAGAACACCUGGGAGUUCUGUAGAUCUGCCAAUCUCAUUUCACGGAAAUGGGACUGUGAUGUGUUCAUGCAAAACACGCUGUCCCUACUCAAAACAGUACGCUCUGAUGAAGUCUACAUAGCACAUAUACUUCACCUGUAUGAAAUGGAUUUGGAAAUUACAUGACUCAUUUAGUUCUUCCUCUCCUUAGCCUGUGAAACUAAUUUCUUCCUUGAGGUAUUGAGAUUUAGGUAAAACAGGGUUAGAGAAGCACAAAUAAUCCUGCUGCAUUCAAACUAAGUCAAAAAGUAUCAGAAGAUCUAAAGGACUAACUUGAUUUAAACUUUUCCUGGCAUGACAAAAAGACUGACGUUUCCCAAAAGAAAUUCCCCAAACUGCCAAAGACAGGGGCUGCUGAUGGAGCCAUACUUACUGAGCUGAUUCAUAUUGCUGGGAGGAUCUGAUGAGAAUAAUGAAGAUUUCAGAGAUCAAAGUUUCCACUCUCUGUGGUUCUAAGAAUGUCUCAGUUUUGUCCAAGUCACAAACAACCCCUGGGCUUUAACUAUCUAACCAGAAACUAUAUGUCAUCCUCUGUUGGGGUUACUUUAAAUGAGCACCUGUAUGUCAAGUUUGAUGCAAGUGUGUAUAGUAUUGAGAGGAUGUCCUAGAAGCCCAAAGUAAAGCACUCCUUUCUCUCCUCAGCUAAAUGAAUGAUGUUCUAUCUUGCAGAUCCAUUUUCAAUCAAUGGAUAAGGGUGUUCAAUUCUCAGCAGAGCACUGAAGAAGUCUUUUGCAGACAAUAAUUAGCAGCAAUUCACAGAGAGAUGAGUCAUUUAUGCCUUUAAUGUUACAUGUACAAAACUGUGUAUUAGUGACGACUUAUGAGGGUGCUGAAGACA
RNAcentral lists this long non-coding RNA (10543 nucleotides) under Homo sapiens (human). RNAcentral describes it as "HSALNT0046942". Lineage: Eukaryota; Metazoa; Chordata; Mammalia; Primates; Hominidae. The record is from RNAcentral.